GGCCGGGCGACGGUUGUCCCGGUUUAAGCGUGUAGGUGUGUGUUCCAGGUAAAUCCGGUUCACUUUAACACUGAGGCGUGACGACGAGGCACUACGGUGCUGAAGCAACAAAUGCCCUGCUUCCAGGAAAAGCCUCUAAGCAUCAGGUAACAUCAAAUCGUACCCCAAACCGACACAGGUGGUCAGGUAGAGAAUACCAAGGCGCUUGAGAGAACUCGGGUGAAGGAACUAGGCAAAAUGGUGCCGUAACUUCGGGAGAAGGCACGCUGACACGUAGGUGAAGUGAUUUACUCAUGGAGCUGAAGUCAGUCGAAGAUACCAGCUGGCUGCAACUGUUUAUUAAAAACACAGCACUGUGCAAACACGAAAGUGGACGUAUACGGUGUGACGCCUGCCCGGUGCCGGAAGGUUAAUUGAUGGGGUCAGCGCAAGCGAAGCUCCUGAUCGAAGCCCCGGUAAACGGCGGCCGUAACUAUAACGGUCCUAAGGUAGCGAAAUUCCUUGUCGGGUAAGUUCCGACCUGCACGAAUGGCGUAAUGAUGGCCAGGCUGUCUCCACCCGAGACUCAGUGAAAUUGAACUCGCUGUGAAGAUGCAGUGUACCCGCGGCAAGACGGAAAGACCCCGUGAACCUUUACUAUAGCUUGACACUGAACAUUGAGCCUUGAUGUGUAGGAUAGGUGGGAGGCUUUGAAGUGUGGACGCCAGUCUGCAUGGAGCCGACCUUGAAAUACCACCCUUUAAUGUUUGAUGUUCUAACGUGGACCCGUUACCCGGGUUGCGGACAGUGUCUGGUGGGUAGUUUGACUGGGGCGGUCUCCUCCUAAAGAGUAACGGAGGAGCACGAAGGUUGGCUAAUCCUGGUCGGACAUCAGGAGGUUAGUGCAAUGGCAUAAGCCAGCUUGACUGCGAGCGUGACGGCGCGAGCAGGUGCGAAAGCAGGUCAUAGUGAUCCGGUGGUUCUGAAUGGAAGGGCCAUCGCUCAACGGAUAAAAGGUACUCCGGGGAUAACAGGCUGAUACCGCCCAAGAGUUCAUAUCGACGGCGGUGUUUGGCACCUCGAUGUCGGCUCAUCACAUCCUGGGGCUGAAGUAGGUCCCAAGGGUAUGGCUGUUCGCCAUUUAAAGUGGUACGCGAGCUGGGUUUAGAACGUCGUGAGACAGUUCGGUCCCUAUCUGCCGUGGGCGCUGGAGAACUGAGGGGGGCUGCUCCUAGUACGAGAGGACCGGAGUGGACGCAUCACUGGUGUUCGGGUUGUCAUGCCAAUGGCACUGCCCGGUAGCUAAAUGCGGAAGAGAUAAGUGCUGAAAGCAUCUAAGCACGAAACUUGCCCCGAG
Molecule: ribosomal RNA, 1336 nt
Filed under: Salmonella enterica subsp. enterica serovar Enteritidis
Lineage: Bacteria; Pseudomonadati; Pseudomonadota; Gammaproteobacteria; Enterobacterales; Enterobacteriaceae
Description: partial 23S ribosomal RNA
Rfam family: Bacterial large subunit ribosomal RNA
Source: RNAcentral